RNAcentral lists this transfer RNA (64 nucleotides) under Synapturanus sp. MZUSP 159215. RNAcentral describes it as "tRNA-Lys". The record is from RNAcentral. Lineage: Eukaryota; Metazoa; Chordata; Amphibia; Anura; Microhylidae.
CAUUGAGAAGCUACUAGCAACAGCCUUUUAAGCUGGAGACAGGUGACCUCUUCACCCUCAAUGA